RNAcentral lists this ribosomal RNA (253 nucleotides) under uncultured Candidatus Neoarthromitus sp. RNAcentral describes it as "uncultured Candidatus Arthromitus sp. partial 16S ribosomal RNA". It matches the Rfam family "Bacterial small subunit ribosomal RNA", at positions 524 to 776 of the family's 1533-position model. Lineage: Bacteria; Bacillati; Bacillota; Clostridia; Eubacteriales; Clostridiaceae. The record is from RNAcentral.
UACGUAGGUGGCAAGCGUUGUUCGGAAUAACUGGGCGUAAAGGAUGCGUAGGCGGUUAAACAAGUUAUAUGUUAAAUAUAUAGGCUUAACCUGUAGAAAGCAUAUAAAACUGUUUAACUAGAGUGCAGGAGAGGUAAGUGGAAUUCCUAGUGUAGCGGUGAAAUGCGUAGAGAUUAGGAAGAACACCAGUGGCGAAGGCGACUUACUGGACUGUAACUGACGCUGAGGCACGAAGGCCAGGGGAGCGAAAGGG